UACGGAGGGGACUAGCGUUGUUCGGAAUUACUGGGCGUAAAGCGCACGUAGGCGGAUUUGUAAGUCAGGGGUGAAAUCCCGGGGCUCAACCUCGGAACUGCCUUUGAUACUGCAAAUCUCGAGUCCGGAAGAGGUGAGUGGAAUUCCUAGUGUAGAGGUGAAAUUCGUAGAUAUUAGGAAGAACACCAGUGGCGAAGGCGGCAUCCUGGACCGGCAUUGACGCUGAGGCGCGAAAGCCAGGGGAGCAAACGGG
This 253-nucleotide ribosomal RNA is filed under the name uncultured bacterium. RNAcentral describes it as "partial 16S ribosomal RNA". It matches the Rfam family "Bacterial small subunit ribosomal RNA", at positions 524 to 776 of the family's 1533-position model. The record is from RNAcentral.